GACGAACGCUGGCGGCGUGCUUAACACAUGCAAGUCGAACGGAAAGGCCCUGCUUGCAGGGUACUCGAGUGGCGAACGGGUGAGUAACACGUGGGUGAUCUGCCCUGCACUUCGGGAUAAGCCUGGGAAACUGGGUCUAAUACCGGAUAGGAGCCAUUUUUAGUGUGAUGGUUGGAAAGUUUUUUCGGUGUAGGAUGAGCUCGCGGCCUAUCAGCUUGUUGGUGGGGUAAUGGCCUACCAAGGCGGCGACGGGUAGCCGGCCUGAGAGGGUGGACGGCCACAUUGGGACUGAGAGACGGCCCAGACUCCGACGGGAGGCAGCAGUGGGGAAGAUUGAACAAGGGGCGCAAGCCUGAUGCAGCGACGCCGCGUGGGGGAUGACGGCCUUCGGGUUGUAAACUCCUUUCGCUAGGGACGAAGCUUUUUGUGACGGUACCUAGAGAAGAAGCACCGGCUAACUACGUG
RNAcentral lists this ribosomal RNA (465 nucleotides) under uncultured bacterium. Its description in RNAcentral is "partial 16S ribosomal RNA". It matches the Rfam family "Bacterial small subunit ribosomal RNA", at positions 28 to 507 of the family's 1533-position model. The record is from RNAcentral.